Molecule: ribosomal RNA, 2903 nt
Filed under: Escherichia coli
Lineage: Bacteria; Pseudomonadati; Pseudomonadota; Gammaproteobacteria; Enterobacterales; Enterobacteriaceae
Also listed under: 2 other names
Description: 23S ribosomal RNA
Rfam family: Bacterial large subunit ribosomal RNA
Source: RNAcentral
GGUUAAGCGACUAAGCGUACACGGUGGAUGCCCUGGCAGUCAGAGGCGAUGAAGGACGUGCUAAUCUGCGAUAAGCGUCGGUAAGGUGAUAUGAACCGUUAUAACCGGCGAUUUCCGAAUGGGGAAACCCAGUGUGUUUCGACACACUAUCAUUAACUGAAUCCAUAGGUUAAUGAGGCGAACCGGGGGAACUGAAACAUCUAAGUACCCCGAGGAAAAGAAAUCAACCGAGAUUCCCCCAGUAGCGGCGAGCGAACGGGGAGCAGCCCAGAGCCUGAAUCAGUGUGUGUGUUAGUGGAAGCGUCUGGAAAGGCGCGCGAUACAGGGUGACAGCCCCGUACACAAAAAUGCACAUGCUGUGAGCUCGAUGAGUAGGGCGGGACACGUGGUAUCCUGUCUGAAUAUGGGGGGACCAUCCUCCAAGGCUAAAUACUCCUGACUGACCGAUAGUGAACCAGUACCGUGAGGGAAAGGCGAAAAGAACCCCGGCGAGGGGAGUGAAAAAGAACCUGAAACCGUGUACGUACAAGCAGUGGGAGCACGCUUAGGCGUGUGACUGCGUACCUUUUGUAUAAUGGGUCAGCGACUUAUAUUCUGUAGCAAGGUUAACCGAAUAGGGGAGCCGAAGGGAAACCGAGUCUUAACUGGGCGUUAAGUUGCAGGGUAUAGACCCGAAACCCGGUGAUCUAGCCAUGGGCAGGUUGAAGGUUGGGUAACACUAACUGGAGGACCGAACCGACUAAUGUUGAAAAAUUAGCGGAUGACUUGUGGCUGGGGGUGAAAGGCCAAUCAAACCGGGAGAUAGCUGGUUCUCCCCGAAAGCUAUUUAGGUAGCGCCUCGUGAAUUCAUCUCCGGGGGUAGAGCACUGUUUCGGCAAGGGGGUCAUCCCGACUUACCAACCCGAUGCAAACUGCGAAUACCGGAGAAUGUUAUCACGGGAGACACACGGCGGGUGCUAACGUCCGUCGUGAAGAGGGAAACAACCCAGACCGCCAGCUAAGGUCCCAAAGUCAUGGUUAAGUGGGAAACGAUGUGGGAAGGCCCAGACAGCCAGGAUGUUGGCUUAGAAGCAGCCAUCAUUUAAAGAAAGCGUAAUAGCUCACUGGUCGAGUCGGCCUGCGCGGAAGAUGUAACGGGGCUAAACCAUGCACCGAAGCUGCGGCAGCGACACUAUGUGUUGUUGGGUAGGGGAGCGUUCUGUAAGCCUGUGAAGGUGUGCUGUGAGGCAUGCUGGAGGUAUCAGAAGUGCGAAUGCUGACAUAAGUAACGAUAAAGCGGGUGAAAAGCCCGCUCGCCGGAAGACCAAGGGUUCCUGUCCAACGUUAAUCGGGGCAGGGUGAGUCGACCCCUAAGGCGAGGCCGAAAGGCGUAGUCGAUGGGAAACAGGUUAAUAUUCCUGUACUUGGUGUUACUGCGAAGGGGGGACGGAGAAGGCUAUGUUGGCCGGGCGACGGUUGUCCCGGUUUAAGCGUGUAGGCUGGUUUUCCAGGCAAAUCCGGAAAAUCAAGGCUGAGGCGUGAUGACGAGGCACUACGGUGCUGAAGCAACAAAUGCCCUGCUUCCAGGAAAAGCCUCUAAGCAUCAGGUAACAUCAAAUCGUACCCCAAACCGACACAGGUGGUCAGGUAGAGAAUACCAAGGCGCUUGAGAGAACUCGGGUGAAGGAACUAGGCAAAAUGGUGCCGUAACUUCGGGAGAAGGCACGCUGAUAUGUAGGUGAGGUCCCUCGCGGAUGGAGCUGAAAUCAGUCGAAGAUACCAGCUGGCUGCAACUGUUUAUUAAAAACACAGCACUGUGCAAACACGAAAGUGGACGUAUACGGUGUGACGCCUGCCCGGUGCCGGAAGGUUAAUUGAUGGGGUUAGCGCAAGCGAAGCUCUUGAUCGAAGCCCCGGUAAACGGCGGCCGUAACUAUAACGGUCCUAAGGUAGCGAAAUUCCUUGUCGGGUAAGUUCCGACCUGCACGAAUGGCGUAAUGAUGGCCAGGCUGUCUCCACCCGAGACUCAGUGAAAUUGAACUCGCUGUGAAGAUGCAGUGUACCCGCGGCAAGACGGAAAGACCCCGUGAACCUUUACUAUAGCUUGACACUGAACAUUGAGCCUUGAUGUGUAGGAUAGGUGGGAGGCUUAGAAGUGUGGACGCCAGUCUGCAUGGAGCCGACCUUGAAAUACCACCCUUUAAUGUUUGAUGUUCUAACGUUGACCCGUAAUCCGGGUUGCGGACAGUGUCUGGUGGGUAGUUUGACUGGGGCGGUCUCCUCCUAAAGAGUAACGGAGGAGCACGAAGGUUGGCUAAUCCUGGUCGGACAUCAGGAGGUUAGUGCAAUGGCAUAAGCCAGCUUGACUGCGAGCGUGACGGCGCGAGCAGGUGCGAAAGCAGGUCAUAGUGAUCCGGUGGUUCUGAAUGGAAGGGCCAUCGCUCAACGGAUAAAAGGUACUCCGGGGAUAACAGGCUGAUACCGCCCAAGAGUUCAUAUCGACGGCGGUGUUUGGCACCUCGAUGUCGGCUCAUCACAUCCUGGGGCUGAAGUAGGUCCCAAGGGUAUGGCUGUUCGCCAUUUAAAGUGGUACGCGAGCUGGGUUUAGAACGUCGUGAGACAGUUCGGUCCCUAUCUGCCGUGGGCGCUGGAGAACUGAGGGGGGCUGCUCCUAGUACGAGAGGACCGGAGUGGACGCAUCACUGGUGUUCGGGUUGUCAUGCCAAUGGCACUGCCCGGUAGCUAAAUGCGGAAGAGAUAAGUGCUGAAAGCAUCUAAGCACGAAACUUGCCCCGAGAUGAGUUCUCCCUGACUCCUUGAGAGUCCUGAAGGAACGUUGAAGACGACGACGUUGAUAGGCCGGGUGUGUAAGCGCAGCGAUGCGUUGAGCUAACCGGUACUAAUGAACCGUGAGGCUUAACCUU